This 100-nucleotide non-coding RNA is filed under the name Pseudomonas putida DOT-T1E. Lineage: Bacteria; Pseudomonadati; Pseudomonadota; Gammaproteobacteria; Pseudomonadales; Pseudomonadaceae. The record is from RNAcentral.
AGCCCCACCAGCCACACCCCGGCACUCGAUGUUCCCGCUAUGGCUGCUCCCUUCCGGGCCUGACCAGGUUAACGGGUAAUCAAUGCGGGGGGACCGAUGG